GUGUCAGCAGCCGCGGUAAUACGGAGGGGGCGAGCGUUGUUCGGAAUCAUUGGGCGUAAAGGGCGCGUAGGCGGCGUCGUAAGUCAGAUGUGAAAGCCCUUGGCUUAACCAAGGAAUUGCAUCUGAAACUGCGGUGCUUGAAUCCGGGAGGGGAGAGUGGAAUUCCCAGUGUAGCGGUGAAAUGCGUAGAUAUUGGGAGGAACACCGGCGGCGAAGGCGGCUCUCUGGACCGGUAUUGACGCUGAGGCGCGAAAGCUAGGGGAGCAAACGGGAUUAGAAACCCCCGUAGUCC
Molecule: ribosomal RNA, 292 nt
Filed under: uncultured bacterium
Lineage: Bacteria
Description: partial 16S ribosomal RNA
Rfam family: Bacterial small subunit ribosomal RNA
Source: RNAcentral